Pipra filicauda (Wire-tailed manakin) is the source of this 923-nucleotide long non-coding RNA. RefSeq lists it as uncharacterized. The transcript is spliced from 3 exons. Lineage: Eukaryota; Metazoa; Chordata; Aves; Passeriformes; Pipridae. The record is from RefSeq and is a predicted model, not a curated record.
AGAAAGAGCAAGUGCUUGGGGAGGGGAAUGCAGAGGGAAGAGGUCCCCCAAGAAAGGAAGCUCUCAAGAAUGAGAGACAGAAAGUUUUCAUGACAAAGAAUGCACAUAAGAAAGGAUGGGUGUGAGGGCAUAAGAAAAAGAGCAUCCAAGAAAUAAGGGAAAGCAAGCAGGAAAGAAAGAGCAAGGUUGCUAGAACAGGGAAGGGCAUAACAAGUAACAAGAACACAUGAAAAUGAGCUAAAGAGUAAGCAGAUUAAAGAGUGAUAGAAAAGGAGAGACAGAGGAGGAGACAAAAGAGGAGAAGAUAAUAUGAGGAGACAGAGGGAAAGAAACAAAUUGAUGAAUUGUGAAAGAGAAAGAGUGAGAAAAGAGGAAGGGAAAGAGGGUGUAAGAGAAGGAAAGAGGGUAAAGAGCAAAGUGGACAGUGAGGGAGCAUGAAUGAGAGAGAUUGCAAGGGAAGCAGAGUGCACUGAUAAACCAGAAUGUUUAGGAAAGAGAGGUGAUGUGAGAAAGUGAGCACAAGAACACAAGUCAGCAAGAACAAUGUUGCAAGAAAGGGUGCCAGACCAAGAGAAAAAGGAGACUAGAUUGAUCGUAAGGAGGAGAGGAGCAUUUAGUAAUGCAGCCAGGCCAUUCUGCAGAUCAGGUUUAAAUGUGGACUCCUGUGCAUGGUGAAAUCCAGCUAAAAUGAACAAGGAGUAUAUGGAGAUGAUUAUAUGGGAAGCACUACAAAGCUCAACCACUCAGAUCUCUUCUGUUCACGUUACAAUUUAGAGGAUGGUCUUUCCACAUUCAGGUUUAGCAGUUGCUCCAGAUGUUCACUUGAUGUAAAUCAGCUGUGAUUUCUAUUCAUCAGUGGCUGUUAGUAUCUACUAAAGAACCUGACUCCUCUAACAUCUUUAAAAGUUGUCUUUAAAUCCUAA